RNAcentral lists this ribosomal RNA (515 nucleotides) under uncultured Cladophora. Its description in RNAcentral is "SSU rRNA". It matches the Rfam family "Eukaryotic small subunit ribosomal RNA", at positions 482 to 1008 of the family's 1831-position model. The record is from RNAcentral. Lineage: Eukaryota; Viridiplantae; Chlorophyta; Ulvophyceae; Cladophorales; Cladophoraceae.
UAUGCGGGGCUUCUUGCUCUGCAAUUGGAAUGAGAACAAUUUAAAUCACUUAACGAGUAUCAAUUGGAGGGCAAGUCUGGUGCCAGCAGCCGCGGUAAUUCCAGCUCCAAUAGCGUAUAUGUAAGUUGUUGCGAUUAAAAAGCCCGUAGCUGAACCUCGGGCAACCCUGACGGUCCGCGUUUCGUGAGUACUGUCGUGGGUUGUCUUUCUGGCAAGACCGUAUCUCGGUGUUAACUCGCCGGGAACGGCGCUUGCCAAGGUUACUUUGAGUAAAAUAGAGUGUUCAAAGCAAGCUCGCGCUCUGAAUACACUAGCAUGGGAUAACACGACAUGACCGAUGGUCUAUCUUGUUGGCCUGUAGACCUGUUGGUAAUGGCUAAUAGGGACGGUCGGGGGCAUUCGUAUUUCGCUGUCAGAGGUGAAAUUCUUGGAUUUGCGAAAGACGAACUACUGCGAAAGCAUUUGCCAAGGACGCUUUCAUUAGUCAAGGACGAAAGUCGGGGAUCGAAGACGAU